This is a long non-coding RNA of Ceratina calcarata, 1285 nucleotides long. RefSeq lists it as uncharacterized. The record is from RefSeq and is a predicted model, not a curated record. NCBI's taxonomy places the organism in Eukaryota, Metazoa, Arthropoda, Insecta, Hymenoptera, Apidae. The transcript is spliced from 4 exons.
AAGGCCCGCCACUGUCGCCCUUAAGAAGAAAUACAUACAACAUGAAGAAUACUCCGAGCGUGACACGACGGAUCCGCUUGAAACGCCGUUUAACAAGAUCGCGUUAUAACAAAUCAACAAUAUUUUGUCAAACCUUUUUCACGAUUUCAUCACAUUUUGUUCUCUCUAGCUAUUUUAUGGUCGAAGGAAGUCGUUCGAAUCGGAGAACUGAUUCAAUCUCUGGCCGUUAAUUCAACACGUGCUCAUACUAUCUAACUACAGGUUGGUUAUUGAAAUUCAUGUCGCGGUUAUUCGACAGAGCGUGAAUUUCAUGUAUGUAUAUAUAUAUGUACAAAAACACGAACGAUACGCGAACGCGGUGCCUAACUAGCCGCUGCACUUGAAUGGUAAGAGGGUCGAUAUGUACCGUCUAAACGGGAUAGAUAGACGACGAUAAGGGAACGAGGCUUUCACUUACCCAGCAUGAGUCGCGGCCACCUUCUUCGUGGCCGGCGCACAUUUGCUUCGGCGCUACUUGGGUCGACUUGCCUUGGCUGGCGUACCAUUCGCGGCACACGCUGUUCUCGAUCACGCGAACUUCCACUUUCUGCAACACGUCCGCUCGUUUAUCUGAAAAAACAAAGUGGAACGGGCAUUUGAUACGGCCGUCGCGCGUCGUCCCUUGCAGGCACUUCCCCGCGAGCUUCAACGUUCCGUUUCGUGGCUGACAAGAAAUAUAAACGUCUUUUUCAAAUAACUUUGUAGAUCACAGCUGAUAGAAUUCUAUUAACGAAGAUCGUUUACUGCAUAUUCUCUUUUAGUUCACUUGGAUAACGAGCCACUUAUUUAAUCAGAAUUUUAAUUUCACUAAAAGUUUUACAGAUGAACCGAGCCACGAGGUCGUCGAACAAGAAUUAGAUUCACUCACAUUUGGAUCUGUCUUCGUUAAACCAACCCCAUCCGGCUACCCCAGCGAGCUCUCCGCCGAAGGCGCUAUACCCUGGUUUCCCAGUGGCCACAGAUUAUACUCGCCAAGACUGACCCGCAGUUGACCAGCGGAAACCAUAGACGUGGCUCUGCGCAAAUUAUUAAGAUGGUCCCUCCGCAAAUGUGUCCUCCCUUUUUGCUGAUGCUCACCAUCCAAGGAAACUCGUGUGGAAAUGCAUUUUGUCCACCGACCAGCCUCGCCGUACGCGUCCCGAUGUCUCGUCGGCCGCAAGCACGAGCAUCGUGGAACGUGUAAUUGCGGGACGUCGACCGGGGAACAGGAGGAGCUUCGUUUUUAUUUCUAUCGUUACAAUCUUCG